This is a long non-coding RNA of Alexandromys fortis (reed vole), 4842 nucleotides long. RefSeq lists it as uncharacterized. The record is from RefSeq and is a predicted model, not a curated record. The transcript is spliced from 4 exons. NCBI's taxonomy places the organism in Eukaryota, Metazoa, Chordata, Mammalia, Rodentia, Cricetidae.
AGAAGAAGAAGAAGAAGAAGAAGAAGAAAAAGAAGAAGAAGGUGCCAUCAAGUUGGGUACUCAGAGAAAUGGAGAUGGAUCUGGGAGAGACAGGUAUAUUCGCUACUAUAUUAAUGAGGCCAUCUUUGGUGGAAUCUUCCUGGCCUCGGUCCUAGCUGGGGCAGCCUUCACACUGGGAAGGAGGACAUGCAUUGCCCGUGGCCAAUCCAAGCACUAGGAUGUGAAGAAAAGCCCACUCAGACGUCAUGUGCUUCACAUUUGGUCCCCAGUAUGAUGUUGAGAAGUGGUGGGGCACCGUGGCCCUGUGAUUGGGCACACGAUUGUGACUCUUUACCCUGUGACUGUCCCUUGAUAUCAGUGACAUCUGACUUCACAGGCUCACCUUGGACAGGGUCUGCCUAGCGUCUCAGACUUUUCUGACAUACUGGGACAAGCUAAGAUUUUGGGACUGCUGGGUGUGGGAUGACUAUAUCUUGCCUUGUGAGAAGAAGAACGUGAACUUUUGGAGCUGCUGCUGCAGCACUGAGGCUUGGUUAUGCUUUAAUUACUUCCUCCAAAAUUUCAUGCAUUGGAUUCUUCGCUCCUGCUGUUGUGAUGCUGAAAAGCCUUUAGGAUAUGGGGUAUAAUGGAAAGCAAGUAGGUCUCAAGGGUUCUUCCCUCAAGUUGUUAAUGCAUACCCCUCCAGAGUGUGCUCUGUGCCUGACGCUUCCCUUGAAUUCUUUUCUUGCCAUCAAGAUUUCUGUACUCAUGGGGUAUGCUGGACAGUUUUAUGUCAACUUGACACAAACUAAAUUGAAGGAAGGGAAUCUUAGCUGAGGAAAUACCCCUAAGAUUGGGCUGUGGGAAAGCCUGUAGAGCAUUGAUUAAUUGGUAACUGAUGGGAGAGGGCCCAGCCCAUUGUGGGUGGUGCCAUUCCUGGGCUGGUGGUUCUGAGUUCUGCAUCCUUAAUAAUCAGAGAAAUGCAAACCAAAACAACUCUGAAAUUCCAUCUUACACCUGUAAGAAUGACCAAGAUUAAAAACACUGAUGACAACUUAUGCUGGAGAGGAUGUGGGGUAAAGGGAACACUUCUGCAUUGCUGGUUGGAGUGCAAACUGGUACAGCCGCUUUGGAUAUCAGUGUGGUGAUUUCUCAGAAAAUUAGGAAACAACCUUCCUCAAGACCCAACAAUAUCAUUUUUGGGUAUAUAUCCAAAGGAUGCUCAAUCGUGCCACAAGGACAUGUGCUCAACUAUGUUCAUAGCAGCAUUGUUUGUCAUAGCCAGAACCUGGAAACAACCUAAAUGCCCCUCGACAGAAGAAUGGAUAAGAAAAAUGUGGUACAUUUACACAAUGGAGUACUACACAGCAGAAAAAAAUAAUGACAGCUCGAAUUUUGCAGGAAAAUGGAUGGAAGUAGAAAGCAUUAUUUUGAGUGAGAUAACCCAGACCCAGAAAGACAAUUAUCACAUGUACUCACUCAUAGGUGGUUUUUAAACAUAAAGCAAAGAAAGCCAGCUUUGUAGAAUCACAAUCCCAGAGAACUUAGACAACAAUGAGGACACUGAGAGAGACAUACUUAGAUCUAAUCUACAUGGGAAGUAGAAAGUAGAAAAAGACAGGAUCUCCUGAGUAAAUUGGGAGCAUGGGGACCUUGGGGGAGCGUUGAAAGGAGGAGGGGAGAGGCAGGGAGGGGAGCAGAGUAAAGUGUAGAGCUCAAUAAAAAUCAAUAAUAAUAAUGAUGAUGAUGAUGAUGAUGAUGAUGAUAAAAGCAGGCUGAAGAAGCCAGUAAGCAGCAGCCCUCUAAAGCUUCCACACCAGCUUCUGACUCUAGGUUCCUGCUCUCUUUGGGUUCCUGCUCCGACUUCCUUUGAUGAAUACUGCAUGGACGUGCAAGCUGAACGAACCCUUUCCUCCCUAAGUUUCUUUGGCCACAGUGUUUCACCACAGCUAUAGCAACCCUGAGAUGUGGCUCCGCCAUGAGGCCCUUGUGAGAGCCCAGCAGAUGCUAGCAUCAUGCUCUGGGGUGUCUAGACAAGUGAGAUGAAACCUCCCACCUUUACAAACUGUCCAUCCUUAGCUGCUGUUGUCUGGCAACACGAAACAGUCUAGGAGACCCCGUGCUGGGCACUGCUAAAUCCUACAUGACGAUGCUUUUGCUCUCAGUUUUUUUGAAGUACUUUCAGUUUGGGCCCUUGUAUUUAGGACUUUGAUCCAUUUUGAAUUAAAUUAUGUAAAAGGCACUGGGUGCAAUUCACCCCUUUGCAUGUGGAUACACAGCUUCCCCAGCACAUUGGGCUGAAAGAUUCUUGUCCGCAUUGAGUGGGUUCGGCUCAUUUCCAGGAAUCAUUUGUACAUGCACCAGAGGGCUCAUGUCUGGGUUCUCUGCACCGCACUCUCAUCACCACACGGUGAAGGUAUUAAGUUUCAAAGUCAGAAAGCAAACACCCUCAAGUUUUUUGUCACUAUGACGGGCUGUCUAAUGUUUCUUGUUGUGUUCUGUGUUUUACACAUUUGUUCCCUUCCGGAUGCUUCAUCACGUGACUGGGCCAUGAGAGCCCUGAGCCCAUUCAGUGCCGAAUUAACGCCAUCUCUUCACCUAGCCCCUGGGAAUUUAACCUCUGCCUAAUUUACCACCCCACAUACCAGCCAUUCUUGAAGUCUCUCUAGACGUAGAGAAAAGUCACUGAGUGUCAGGAUCGCAAGCCUGGGUAUUAGCAUCCUGUGGUUCUACAUGGUCCAUUUGAUAAUCUCUCCCACAGUUCAGAGAGUUUCCCUGUGGGGCCAGCAGGGCCUGAGGAUCUAGGGGGCAUGCGUCUAUUCAUAAAGCUGAAAAGAGAAUGCGCACACAGGACAGACGCAAUGGGAAUGGGUGUGGAGGCGGUGCGUGGGCAGCUCUAUGACGCAGAGGAAAACAUGAGUGUGAUAGGACAGCUGGGAUACCCAUGGUCACUGAUGUCACGAACAUGACAUUAGAGUCAAAUGCGGGACAUGAGGCCAAACAAAGCUUUCAGUAGUGCGGACUUGUCCUUCUUCGUGAAAGGCAGCACUGGGUGUCUCUCCUUACUGCUCCUUUUAGACGCUUGGAUUCAAGGUUGGACAAUGGCCUGAACCAGUAAAAGUUAGAGAGGACUGCCAAGCAACUGUCUGCUCAAGAUGACAACAACAACAGCAGCAGCAGCAGCAACAACAACAACAACAACAAGAUGGCUCCAGCUCCGCCUUCACCUUUCAUGGCUGAGCUGUCUUGGCAGUUUGACUCCUCUGCUGAAAGCCUGGCUGCUCUGAUUGGCUGAGACUCAGGUUCUUACCACAAGGCUGCACUUGCAACUCAGCCUCUCACCCUGCCUGGAGCUGCCAAAGAUCACCUUGAGCUCGAGGAUGAGGACCAUGUGCUGGAGCCAGACCCCAGAGGCGGGGAGACUUUCCCCGCUAAGGAUGCCUGAGUUCUGAGCUCAGCCAUGCCCGAACACCCCUGCUGUUGAACAACUCCUGCUUCCUACAUAAACUGCUAGGAUGCAGUAUGCACAGCAACUGAUGUCUGACUGAUUCUCUCUGAACCUCUAAGUCCUGGCACUAAGGGGCAGCACCUAAGGUCUCCCGAACAAGGCUGCUCAUUCUUGGAGAUUCCAAAUGUACUCCAACUGAGCUGUGAAGAGAUACCACGUGCCUGAGGACAGGCAAGCAAAAAAGAAUUCACAUAUGUGCAGACAACUCUUGUUGGUCAAGGUUGUGUUCCUUAGGAAGCUGUGCAUGGACCAGACUCUGCAAAUGCCCUUAUAGAAUGCCUAUUUAUAUACAUAUAAAUGCAUAUCUAUUACAUUACAACAUUGUUAUGUAAGUUCUUUUACAAUACAAAAAAUAUAACUAUGUGAUACACGGGCAACUAGAUGUAGAAUGAUCCCUUUUUUUCUUUUCAAGAGGCCUUGACUCAUAUUUUCCAGUAAAGCAAAGAGGCUGAGUAUCCACAGAGACAAGUUGACUUCUCAGUUUGCCUAGAAAGGUAUUCCCCCAAUACUUAUAAAGCACAAAGAGGGAGUUAAAGAUUAGUUCCCUUGUUGGCCCUACCAAAUGGAAGAUACUAUAUUCCAUUUUAGCAGGAGCAGGAUAUGGAAAUCGUCAAAAUUGUUAUUACAAAAAUGAAACAGUAAUAAGAUUCCAGCUAAAAGGACACUAAAUAAGAAUAUGUGAAUAUAUAUAUGUACUUAAAGAAUCCAAAACAAAGACUAUUAUAAAAAAGCUACACGUGCACCAUAAGCAUGUAGGUUUUCCUUCUCAUGUAUACUUUUGGACAAUGGGAUGGAUUGUCAAACAAACGGUCCACUGUGUCAGGUCACACACGUCAGUGUGUCAGGUCACACACGUCACUGUGUCAGGUCACACACGUCAGUGUGUCAGGUCAUACAUCAGUGUGUCAGGUCACACACAUCAGUGUGUGAGGUCACACGCAUCAGUGCGUCAGGUCACAUAUCUCUGUGUAAGGUCACGCCCUUCCCCAACCUCUUCAGAUUCUUCACUGAGCUCAGCACCUGCCGCCUUGCUCCCGCCGACCUGUCUCAUGCAUGCUGGCUACACUUCUGGGGGCUCUAUGCCUUAGACAAAAGUCCCGGUGGGAACAACUGCUUGAGGCCGCAAAAGUCUACUUGAAUGGCAGUUCCAGAGCAACACGUCUGAAGUCCGACCCCAUUCUCAUCUCCCUACUUUGCACUUUGCCGUUGCCAAGAGAGAAAAGGAACGUUUCUGUACUUACAUGGUUCAUAAAUGAAAGUUAAACGCAGAGCUAUGUGUGUCGCGUGCUAUUUGUUAAAAAUCUGUGGGGGCGGGGGCAGAGGUAAUUGCUGAUAAAGGUGUGUCAAAGCGAAAG